This 201-nucleotide long non-coding RNA is filed under the name Capsicum annuum. RNAcentral describes it as "long non-coding RNA (CANN_LNC009689)". Lineage: Eukaryota; Viridiplantae; Streptophyta; Magnoliopsida; Solanales; Solanaceae. The record is from RNAcentral.
AUAUGUAAAGGUUUGUGGUUCAGGUCCAUUUACCAUGUAAUGUGUGUCGGUUUGUAGUUCAGGUCCACUUACUAUGUAAGGUGUGAAGGUUUUUAGUUUGGGUCCUCUCGCCAUAUAAUGUGUGAAGGUUUAUAGUUCGGGCCCACUUACUAUGUAAUGUGUGUUGGUUUUAGUUUGGUUCCACUUACCAUAUAAGGUGUG